Molecule: small nucleolar RNA, 92 nt
Filed under: Spathaspora passalidarum NRRL Y-27907
Lineage: Eukaryota; Fungi; Ascomycota; Pichiomycetes; Serinales; Debaryomycetaceae
Source: RNAcentral
UUUGGUGAUGAUUUUUUUAUAUUCACACUGUACGAGAAGUUUAACAACUUCCCUGACUACAUCAACAAAAAACUGAUUUAAUGACUCUGAAG